UAUCGCUCGGCAUUGCUCUCGGAAAUAACAGCGUUGCGCGGUCUAUGCCAGAAGAAAUCAAAUCUCGAAUGUGCAGAUUCCAAGUGGAUCGACUUGGCAAAACGGAAUUCCUGCACGUCACAGAAACGACAAUGUCUACAAACGGCAACCAUUUUAAUGGAACAAAAAUUAGGCGGAAUUUCUACGAAGCGAGGGAAGCGUCUCGUCGAAUUAUUAUGCGUAUAUGAUCAGAACUAUGCAUG
Molecule: long non-coding RNA, 242 nt
Organism: Dinoponera quadriceps
Lineage: Eukaryota; Metazoa; Arthropoda; Insecta; Hymenoptera; Formicidae
Exons: 3
Source: RefSeq, a predicted model, not a curated record